AUUGAACGCUGGCGGCAGGCCUAACACAUGCAAGUCGAACGGUAACAGGAAACAGCUUGCUGUUUCGCUGACGAGUGGCGGACGGGUGAGUAAUGUCUGGGAAACUGCCUGAUGGAGGGGGAUAACUCCUGGAAACGGUAGCUCAUACCGCAUAACGUCGCAAGACCAAAGAGGGGGACCUUUGGGCCUCUUGCCAUCGGAUGUGCCCAGAUGGGAUUAGCUAGUAGGUGGGGUAACGGCUCACCUAGGCGACGAUCCCUAGCUGGUCUGAGAGGAUGACCAGCCACACUGGAACUGAGACACGGUCCAGACUCCUACGGGAGGCAGCAGUGGGGAAUAUUGCACAAUGGGCGCAAGCCUGAUGCAGCCAUGCCGCGUGUAUGAAGAAGGCCUUCGGGUUGUAAAGUACUUUCAGCGGGGAGGAAGGGAGUAAAGUUAAUACCUUUGCUCAUUGACGUUACCCGCAGAAGAAGCACCGGCUAACUCCGUGCCAGCCGCCGCCGUAA
RNAcentral lists this ribosomal RNA (506 nucleotides) under uncultured bacterium. RNAcentral's name for it is "partial 16S ribosomal RNA". It matches the Rfam family "Bacterial small subunit ribosomal RNA", at positions 30 to 523 of the family's 1533-position model. The record is from RNAcentral.